CUCUUUCCGUCGAAAUAUCUCUUUCUUUGGCCCAAGCUACUCUGUUUCUUCCCCCUUUUCUCUUUGUCACGCUAAGCUUCCCUCUUCACCAUUUUGUCUCCAAUCCGGUGUCCAGAAAUGUGUGCUUCCGUUUCCUUGCUGGUUCCCGUGUUCUGUUGGUUUCCUCUUGUCUCCGUGUGCUUCUUGUUUUUCAUACUCGCCUCUCUUGAACACAUCCACAACACAAAUCAAAAAUUUCCGGCUUAAAGUCUUGUACCUUGCUAUCCAGACACCCAGGGAGUCCGGCCAUGAACACGUUUACUGAACCUAGCCCUGGAUGAAGGCCGAGGCGCUUUGUUUUGCACCUUCAUGGUUUUUGUUAUAAAUGUUUUCAAAAAUAUUAUUAUUGAAAAAUAAUUUUAUAUUAUCAUUUUGGUUAAUCCAA
Long non-coding RNA from Juglans regia (Persian walnut), 424 nucleotides. RefSeq lists it as uncharacterized. The transcript has 2 exons. Lineage: Eukaryota; Viridiplantae; Streptophyta; Magnoliopsida; Fagales; Juglandaceae. The record is from RefSeq and is a predicted model, not a curated record.